UCCCCGGGCGUCGAACAGU
This 19-nucleotide small nuclear RNA is filed under the name Arabidopsis thaliana (thale cress). Its description in RNAcentral is "snRNA_06007". Lineage: Eukaryota; Viridiplantae; Streptophyta; Magnoliopsida; Brassicales; Brassicaceae. The record is from RNAcentral.